Molecule: ribosomal RNA, 301 nt
Filed under: uncultured bacterium
Lineage: Bacteria
Description: partial 16S ribosomal RNA
Rfam family: Bacterial small subunit ribosomal RNA
Source: RNAcentral
CAGCAGCCGCGGUAAUACGAAGGGUGCAAGCGUUAAUCGGAAUUACUGGGCGUAAAGCGUGCGUAGGCGGUUUGUUAAGUCUGCUGUGAAAUCCCCGGGCUCAACCUGGGAAUGGCAGUGGAUACUGGCAAGCUAGAGUGUGUCAGAGGAUGGUGGAAUUCCCGGUGUAGCGGUGAAAUGCGUAGAGAUCGGGAGGAACAUCAGUGGCGAAGGCGGCCAUCUGGGACAACACUGACGCUGAGGCACGAAAGCGUGGGGAGCAAACAGGAUUAGAUACCCCAGUAGUCCCUGUCUCUUAUAC